This is a long non-coding RNA of Ornithodoros turicata, 368 nucleotides long. RefSeq lists it as uncharacterized. The record is from RefSeq and is a predicted model, not a curated record. NCBI's taxonomy places the organism in Eukaryota, Metazoa, Arthropoda, Arachnida, Ixodida, Argasidae. The transcript has 3 exons.
AAAAAGAUCCCUUGCACGAUGCGGCGUUAGGAAAGAGACAUCGCUAUUCCAGAAACGGUCACACUUCCGUUGGUGCUGCUUCUGUUGCCCAUAUGGCUGCCAAGGUUAUCAUCUGUCUCGUCUUCGUACUACUUGGAUGCCUUCGUGUCAUUGAUCACAGCGGAGCCGAACGUCAGCCAGGACGUGGGGAACCGUCGGCACGGUAUUUUCAAUGUAGGACACCGUGUAUGACCAUGCACGACUGCCGCUAUGGUUGUGACUGCGUAAAGAUGUUCCGAGACGUCCCUGGCAAUUGCACCUAAUGGAAGUAACAUUUUUUCCUCAUUAUUUCCUCAUUAGAAGAAACAGUAAAUAUUUCUCGACCUGUU